GUGCUCACUUUGGCUCACAUAUACUAAAAUUGGAACAAUACAGAGAUUAGCAUGGCCCCUGCACAAGAAUGGCAUGCAAAAGCAUGAAGCACUCCAAAUUAAA
This is a small nuclear RNA of Suncus etruscus (white-toothed pygmy shrew), 103 nucleotides long. NCBI's taxonomy places the organism in Eukaryota, Metazoa, Chordata, Mammalia, Eulipotyphla, Soricidae. The record is from RefSeq and is a predicted model, not a curated record.